UUAACUGACGCUAAAGCUCGAAAGUGCGGGUAUCGAACAGGAUUAGAUACCCUGGUAGUCCGCACGGUAAACGAUGGAUGCCCGCUGUUGGCGAUAUAUUGUCAGCGGCCAAGCGAAAGCGUUAAGCAUCCCACCUGGGGAGUACGCCGGCAACGGUGAAACUCAAAGGAAUUGACGGGGGCCCGCACAAGCGGAGGAACAUGUGGUUUAAUUCGAUGAUACGCGAGGAACCUUACCCGGGCUUGAACUGCCAGCGAACGAUUCAGAGAUGAUGAGGCCCUUCGGGGCGCUGGUGGAGGUGCUGCAUGGUUGUCGUCAGCUCGUGCCGUGAGGUGUCGGCUUAAGUGCCAUAACGAGCGCAACCCCUUUCUCCAGUUGCCAUCAGGUAGAGCUGGGCACUCUGGAGACACUGCCACCGUAAGGUGUGAGGAAGGUGGGGAUGACGUCAAAUCAGCACGGCCCUUACGUCCGGGGCUACACACGUGUUACAAUGGGUGGUACAGAGAGUCGGUCGCUGGCAAUAGCGAUCCAAUCCUAAAAGCCAUCCUCAGUUCGGAUUGGGGUCUGCAACCCGACCCCAUGAAGCUGGAUCGCUAGUAA
This 600-nucleotide ribosomal RNA is filed under the name uncultured bacterium. RNAcentral's name for it is "bacterial SSU rRNA". It matches the Rfam family "Bacterial small subunit ribosomal RNA", at positions 736 to 1341 of the family's 1533-position model. The record is from RNAcentral.